Molecule: ribosomal RNA, 253 nt
Filed under: uncultured bacterium
Lineage: Bacteria
Description: partial 16S ribosomal RNA
Rfam family: Bacterial small subunit ribosomal RNA
Source: RNAcentral
GACAGGGGUCUCGAGCGUUAAUCGGAAUCACUGGGCUUAAAGGGCGCGUAGGCGGGCUGACAAGUCUGGGGUGAAAUGCCGCGGCUCAACCGUGGAACUGCCUUAGAUACUGUCGGCCUCGAGGAAGGUAGGGGCAUGCGGAACUGUAGGUGGAGCGGUGAAAUGCGUUGAUAUCUACAGGAACUCCGGUGGCGAAAGCGGCGUGCUGGACCUUUUCUGACGCUGAGGCGCGAAAGCUAGGGGAGCAAACGGG